Molecule: long non-coding RNA, 4319 nt
Organism: Macaca fascicularis (crab-eating macaque)
Lineage: Eukaryota; Metazoa; Chordata; Mammalia; Primates; Cercopithecidae
Source: Ensembl
GGACUGAAUUCUAAUUUUUCUUGGCUAUAAGCCUGCAAAAUAAUGUUUUCAAUCUUUUUCCUUCUUUUUUUCCCCCAUUUUUCCUAAUUUGGAACCACCAAAAACUAAGUUGUGCUUUUGUAAAGCCCUGUGAACUGAAGCUAGACAACUAAAUUUCAGAAGAAAAUAACAGCAACCUGUUUACAUACCUAAGCCACUUUCAUACCUGCCUACUGAUAUGUGGACUUCAUAGUAAUGUGGCCUAUAUUGAUUUCUCAGGAUUGUUCUUUAGUCUGAUGUUGUUUUUCUCCCUUGCUCCCCCUAUUUUCUCUUCAUAGGAUAUGAGACUUCACAACCUGCUGAAAAUGAGCUUUCCUCAUAACUCAGGACCUACGCGUCUAGGAAUAAACCAUCCUAAACAUGAAAGAUCAGACAAAAUGUGAGACCAGAGACUCAUUUACAGGAUUUCAAUACUUUGUUACCGGAUAUGGACUGGUAUAUGAAAUGAAAUAAAUGGCCAGAUAGGUGCUAAGAAUUUAAAUAGUUCACUUGUUAUACCAAGAUUGUUUCAUGAGAUACAAGCAAUUCAAACCUGAAUCCUGCAUCUCUCUUCCAAGUUAUCAGUCCAGAGAAUGAACUCUUGUGAACAAAGGAAAGGGAGAAAUGAAGCUUGGGAUUGGGAGUAGAUGUGUUAGAGGCUAAGAGGUGGAAAUGCUGGCCUUCUAUCCACUACGGGGACCUACCACCCAAAGAGCACACCAUCACAAGGUAAGAUGACUUUCCUAUGAAAUCCAUUCCCUCCUUGAGGCCUGUGGCCUGACAUAGAUCUGGGACAAUCUGGGAGAUACACUCUAGUUACUUAAUGUUAAGGAAUAUUAGGAAAUGGAGCCCAAGGAAGUUAAGUCCAAUCCUGGGAUCACAGACUGGACUCAGCACACCUGAUGCUUUCAGACAUCACUUAUAAAUAGAUACUCCCUUCUCUCACUCAGGCUUCAUACCCAGUGGAGAAACAUACUCCUGAUAUCUGUAUGUCCCUGAUUUGUCUGCUUUUGUUGAGUCUUGAAUCAUGGGUAAUAUUAGGCAUAUAUCCACUCCCUUUCUCUGCGUUCCCACAGGUCCCAUCCAUUCAUUCAAUAAAUAUUUUCUUAGCAUGUACCUGCCACCUGCCAAGCAUUGGUAAAUUCCAGAGAUAUUGUACCUCUUCUAGGGCCUCGUAUUCUCACCCACAUUCACAAAUAGAGACAUGCAGACUUUAUUGGAAAAAAAUUAACUGGCUUCUACACAACGCUUUAAACUGAGGUGAAUGGGACUGUCUUCACCUGGUAAUCAGGGUAACUGGAUUUCAGCCCAGAAUCUUCCACCAACCAGCUGUGUGACCUCAGGCAAGUCACCUCUCUUUUCUGGCCUCAUCUUUGCCUUCUGUAAAGUGAGACCCUUGGUCUAGGAUGGGUGAUCUCUAAGUUUCUUUCUCAAUUUCCCAUUUUGUAAUUCUCAUUCUUUAAUAAAAAUAGGCCCUGUAUCUGUUGUAGGAAAAACUGAGAUUAUUAUCUGGGGGAAAUUGAUAACCUAGAUUUUUUUUCCUAGCAAACUGUAGGGUCUAGUAUAUUUUCUGAGCCACAUCAGGAACUGUGUCCUGAGCUCAAGGAAUGGUAUAGUACAGGCCUCUUGGACCUUCACAUAUCCGAACUUCAGAGAAAGCUCCCGUUAAAAGCAAUUAAUACAGCAUACCAAAGGGAGAGAAGAGAGGUGACAACUGUAGUGGUUUUUGCCCCGCCUUGAUGAGAUGGGAAGGGGAAUCUAGCAGGUGGGGCAGACAACGCUGCCCUUGGGGCAGUUUGUGCUUCACAGUGUUGUGAAGUCCAACUAAGAGGGUUUUGUCAAGAUUCUUUUUUCUGUGUGUUUAAACAGUUAUACAACAAUUGAAUUAGUCUGCUCGCCUAGACUCCCUGCCAUGAAAAUCAUCAAACAAGCCUGGAAGAAUCCUACUGCGGGGCCUUUGCCAGCAGAGUGCUAGGAUUUCUGGAAGCUGGGCAUCUUCUCACACACAGUGGCCAGCGUUGGCUUUGGAGUUUCUUACCUUGUUUUCCCAGCACCUGAGGAGAACUUUGGCCCCAAAGAGACUGCCCAGGUCUGAGGCAAUGCUAUUUGACAUUGUAUCCUCGGUCAUGGGAGUAAAUAUGCCCCCUUCAGGUGUGGCACAGACUUGAGAUUUAUGCUGAGGUCAGGCCUCACAGCUGCCUCCCAGGGCUGCUGUCCCAGGUGGCCCCUUCCCACGCACCGGCCACCGUGGAGGGAUUAGCACGCACGUGUGUGUAUGUGUGUGUGCGUGUGUGUAUACGUUUGUGUCUUUGUGUCAGUAUUCCUGUGAAGGAGGCAGUCCAAGGGACCAGCAGGAGGAUUUGUAGCUGGUGUGUGUGUGUGUGUGUUUUGUAUCAGUAUGUCUGUGAAGGAGGCAGUCCAAGGGACCAGCAGGAGGAUUUUAUUAUUACUGCCUAGAGACAUCUGAUGCAGGGGAGCCCUGGUUUCUUGUGGUUGAUAUACCUGGGUAAGGAAAAGGGAGCUGAGAAGGAAUCGGAGAAAACUGAGCAAAAAGGAUGAAGGCAGGAGGAAAUAGCUGAAAGAAGACAGAAGAGCCCAGCUCAGACACAGGUGGUUAGCAGUUCCUCAGGGUUCCUGAGCAGUUCCUUUGGGGUCCAGGGUUUGUGAGGCUCUGCUGGACCACAGGCAUCAGACACCCCUGAGGGAGGCAGCUCUGCACAAAGAGGAUACAGUAGCUGGAGUAGCCAAUUCAUCCAGCCAGGAAUCUUCUGGCCUCACAGCAUCUAAAGGGAAAAUGCAGAGAGAGCAAAUCAGGAUUCUUGAUUAUGGGACUCCCUGCGGAGGACAAGGCCCUAGCGAAAGUUGGACAUCAUCUAAGAGUUCUGGCUUCAAAACUCUGUAUUGUGUGGUCUUUGUGCACCGUCUUGUGGAGUGAACAGUGACUCCUGAAGGCUUGCCCAGACCAGGAUCAUUUCCGUUGGGAGUAUCAUAGACCAAAGUCCAUCCUCAAAAUCUGGUCUCCACUCUCACAAAAGGAAUGCAUACAAAUGUCAUCCAACUGAAAGUCCUAUUUCAGAAACCUUUUGUCCACUCUCCUUCUAUUCUAGUAAUGAUUACAGUAGGCUAAACAUUGUUUAAGUUCCAAAAGGCAGAAAACCAGAAAAUUUUUUUUAAAAAUUGUAUUAUAUGAAGCAAUGCUUGUAGAACAAUCUAUCCUCUAUAAGCAGACUAUUUUCCUUGUACUGAUCAAUAACUACUCCUUUAUUAACUAUCUUUUCUUUCCUGUCUCUUCAGUGAGUUCCACGCAUACCUCACUCAGUCACACAACUGUUGACACAGUCACAAAACUGCAGUUUGCAGAUGAGGCAACUGGAACUCAAAGAGGUUAUGUAAUUUGUGUAAGAUUACACAGUGUGUAAGUGACAAAGUCCAGAGUGCAAUUCAGGGCUACCAGUUUGCAUGGUUUUCCACUGAACUUCACUGUUGGCAGAAAAGAGAUGUAUAAAAAUAUUAUUUAGAUAGCUCCUUCCACCCACACAGAAUUUAUUGCUACUAAUUGAAUGGGCUACUGAGUAAUGUUAUUAAAAUAUUAUUUUAGGUGUGACAUUUUGAUAAGAAUGUUUUCUUUUUUUUUUUUUUUGAGACAGAGUCUUGCUGUGUCACCCAGGCUGGAGUGCAGUGGGGCAAUCUUGGCUCACCAUAGCCUCCGCCUCCCAGGUUCAAGCGAUUCUCCUGCCUCAGCCUCUGCGGUACCCACCACCAAACCUGACUAUGGUUUUGUUUUGUUUUGUUUUCUGAGACAAAGUCUUGCUCUUGUUGCCCAAGCUGGAGUGAAAUGGUGUCAUCUUGGCUGACUGCAACCUCCACCUCCCAGGUUCAAGCGAUUCUCCUGCCUUAGCCUCCCAAGUAGCUGGGAUUACAGGCACCCGCCUACCACCACGCCCAGCUAAUUUUUACACUUUUAGUAGAGACAGGGUUUCACCACGUUAGCCAGGUUGGUCUCGAACUUCUGACCACAGGCGAUCUGCCCGCCUUGGCCUCCCAAAGUGUUGGGAUUAUAGGCGUGAGCGCUAAUUUGUAUUUUUAGUAGAGACGGGAUUUCACUGUGUUGGCCAGGCUGGUCUUGAACUCCUGACCUCAAGUCAUUCACCCGCUUCAGCCUCCCAAAGUGCUAGAUUAGAGGUGUGAGCCACCACAUCCAGCCAAUAGGGGGAUUUCUUGAGUUACUUCUUGUGUGGUACAGUAUAAACCAUCUCCUCUCUUCCCUAUGAAAUUAUUAGUAAAUGUUACAUUUAUUACUA